GACGAACGCUGGCGGCGUGCCUAAUACAUGCAAGUCAACUGAAGCAGCUGUAGCAAUACGGCUGUGGAGGUGGCGCACGGGUGAGUAACACGUAGGUAAUCUGCCUUCAGGACUGACACAACUCCGAGAAAUCGGAGCUAAUAUCAGAUUAUGCAGCGGCUUGGCAUCAAGACAGUUGUUAAAGCGCCGAGCAAUCGGUUAGCGCCUGAAGAUGAGCCUGCGCCCCAUUAGGUAGUUGGCGGAGUAAUGGCCCACCAAGGCUACGAUCAGUAACUGGUCUGAGAGGAUGAUCAGCCACACUGGAACUGAGAUACGGUCCAGACUCCUACGGGUGCAG
RNAcentral lists this ribosomal RNA (337 nucleotides) under uncultured Chlorobiota bacterium. Its description in RNAcentral is "bacterial SSU rRNA". It matches the Rfam family "Bacterial small subunit ribosomal RNA", at positions 28 to 351 of the family's 1533-position model. The record is from RNAcentral. Lineage: Bacteria; Pseudomonadati; Chlorobiota.